This 284-nucleotide ribosomal RNA is filed under the name Phocaeicola coprocola DSM 17136. RNAcentral's name for it is "partial 16S ribosomal RNA". It matches the Rfam family "Bacterial small subunit ribosomal RNA", at positions 493 to 776 of the family's 1533-position model. Lineage: Bacteria; Pseudomonadati; Bacteroidota; Bacteroidia; Bacteroidales; Bacteroidaceae. The record is from RNAcentral.
UCUUUUCCUUUUUUGCCCGCCGCCGCGGUAAUACGGAGGAUGCGAGCGUUAUCCGGAUUUAUUGGGUUUAAAGGGAGCGCAGACGGGAGAUUAAGUCAGUUGUGAAAGUUUGCGGCUCAACCGUAAAAUUGCAGUUGAUACUGGUUUCCUUGAGUGCAGUUGAGGCAGGCGGAAUUCGUGGUGUAGCGGUGAAAUGCUUAGAUAUCACGAAGAACCCCGAUUGCGAAGGCAGCUUGCUAAACUGUAACUGACGUUCAUGCUCGAAAGUGUGGGUAUCAAACAGG